This 1476-nucleotide ribosomal RNA is filed under the name Vibrio cholerae. RNAcentral describes it as "partial 23S ribosomal RNA". It matches the Rfam family "Bacterial large subunit ribosomal RNA", at positions 1 to 1531 of the family's 2925-position model. Lineage: Bacteria; Pseudomonadati; Pseudomonadota; Gammaproteobacteria; Vibrionales; Vibrionaceae. The record is from RNAcentral.
GUUGUAUGGUUAAGUGACUAAGCGUACACGGUGGAUGCCUGGGCAGUCAGAGGCGAUGAAGGACGUACUAACUUGCGAUAAGCGCAGAUAAGGCAGUAAGAGCCGUUUGAGUCUGCGAUUUCCGAAUGGGGAAACCCAACUGCAUAAGCAGUUACUGUUAACUGAAUACAUAGGUUAACAGAGCAAACCGGGGGAACUGAAACAUCUAAGUACCCCGAGGAGAAGAAAUCAACCGAGAUUCCGGUAGUAGCGGCGAGCGAACCUGGAUUAGCCCUUAAGCACUCGGUGAAGUAGGUGAACAAGCUGGAAAGCUUGGCGAUACAGGGUGAUAGCCCCGUAACCGACGCUUCAUCGAGCGUGAAAUCGAGUAGGGCGGGACACGUGAUAUCCUGUCUGAAUAUGGGGGGACCAUCCUCCAAGGCUAAAUACUCCUGACUGACCGAUAGUGAACCAGUACCGUGAGGGAAAGGCGAAAAGAACCCCUGUGAGGGGAGUGAAAUAGAACCUGAAACCGUGUACGUACAAGCAGUAGGAGCACCUUCGUGGUGUGACUGCGUACCUUUUGUAUAAUGGGUCAGCGACUUAUAUUCAGUGGCAAGGUUAACCGUAUAGGGGAGCCGUAGCGAAAGCGAGUCUUAACUGGGCGCUCAGUCUCUGGAUAUAGACCCGAAACCGGGUGAUCUAGCCAUGGGCAGGUUGAAGGUUGAGUAACAUCAACUGGAGGACCGAACCGACUAAUGUUGAAAAAUUAGCGGAUGACUUGUGGCUAGGGGUGAAAGGCCAAUCAAACUCGGAGAUAGCUGGUUCUCCCCGAAAGCUAUUUAGGUAGCGCCUCGGACGAAUACUACUGGGGGUAGAGCACUGUUAAGGCUAGGGGGUCAUCCCGACUUACCAACCCUUUGCAAACUCCGAAUACCAGUAAGUACUAUCCGGGAGACACACGGCGGGUGCUAACGUCCGUCGUGGAGAGGGAAACAACCCAGACCGCCAGCUAAGGUCCCAAAGUAUUGCUAAGUGGGAAACGAUGUGGGAAGGCUCAGACAGCUAGGAUGUUGGCUUAGAAGCAGCCAUCAUUUAAAGAAAGCGUAAUAGCUCACUAGUCGAGUCGGCCUGCGCGGAAGAUGUAACGGGGCUAAGCAAUACACCGAAGCUGCGGCAAUGUCUUUUAGACAUUGGGUAGGGGAGCGUUCUGUAAGCCGUUGAAGGUGAAUCGUAAGGUUUGCUGGAGGUAUCAGAAGUGCGAAUGCUGACAUGAGUAACGACAAAGGGGGUGAAAAACCUCCUCGCCGGAAGACCAAGGGUUCCUGUCCAACGUUAAUCGGGGCAGGGUGAGUCGACCCCUAAGGUGAGGCCGAAAGGCGUAAUCGAUGGGAAACGGGUUAAUAUUCCCGUACUUCUGACUAUUGCGAUGGGGGGACGGAGAAGGCUAGGUGGGCCAGGCGACGGUUGUCCUGGUUCAAGUGCGUAGGCUUGAGA